This 396-nucleotide ribosomal RNA is filed under the name uncultured bacterium. Its description in RNAcentral is "bacterial SSU rRNA". It matches the Rfam family "Bacterial small subunit ribosomal RNA", at positions 30 to 426 of the family's 1533-position model. The record is from RNAcentral.
AUUGAACGCUGGCGGCAUGCCUUACACAUGCAAGUCGAACGGCAGCACGGGAGCAAUCCUGGUGGCGAGUGGCGAACGGGUGAGUAAUAUAUCGGAACGUGCCCAGUCGUGGGGGAUAACGUAGCGAAAGCUACGCUAAUACCGCAUACGAUCUAUGGAUGAAAGCGGGGGGAUCGCAAGACCUCGCGCGAUUGGAGCGGCCGAUAUCAGAUUAGGUAGUUGGUGAGGUAAAGGCUCGCCAAGCCGACGAUCUGUAGCUGGUCUGAGAGGAGACCAGCCACACUGGGACUGAGACACGGCCCAGACUCCUACGGGAGGCAGCAGUGGGGAAUUUUUGGACAAUAGGGCGCAAGCCUGAUCCAGCAAUGCCGCGUGCAGGAUGAAGGCCUCGGUUGU